AGACCCGAAACCCGGUGAUCUAGCCAUGGGCAGGUUGAAGGUUGGGUAACACUAACUGGAGGACCGAACCGACUAAUGUUGAAAAAUUAGCGGAUGACCUGUGGCUGGGGGUGAAAGGCCAAUCAAACCGGGAGAUAGCUGGUUCUCCCCGAAAGCUAUUUAGGUAGCGCCUCGUGAAUUCAUCUCCGGGGGUAGAGCACUGUUUCGGCUAGGGGGCCAUCCCGGCUUACCAACCCGAUGCAAACUGCGAAUACCGGAGAAUGUUAUCACGGGAGACACACGGCGGGUGCUAACGUCCGUCGUGAAGAGGGAAACAACCCAGACCGCCAGCUAAGGUCCCAAAGUCAUGGUUAAGUGGGAAACGAUGUGGGAAGGCCCAGACAGCCAGGAUGUUGGCUUAGAAGCAGCCAUCAUUUAAAGAAAGCGUAAUAGCUCACUGGUCGAGUCGGCCUGCGCGGAAGAUGUAACGGGGCUAAACCAUGCACCGAAGCUGCGGCAGCGACACUGUGUGUUGUUGGGUAGGGGAGCGUUCUGUAAGCCUGCGAAGGUGGCCUGUGAGGGUUGCUGGAGGUAUCAGAAGUGCGAAUGCUGACAUAAGUAACGAUA
This 606-nucleotide ribosomal RNA is filed under the name Salmonella enterica subsp. enterica serovar Indiana. RNAcentral describes it as "partial 23S ribosomal RNA". It matches the Rfam family "Bacterial large subunit ribosomal RNA", at positions 711 to 1314 of the family's 2925-position model. The record is from RNAcentral. Lineage: Bacteria; Pseudomonadati; Pseudomonadota; Gammaproteobacteria; Enterobacterales; Enterobacteriaceae.